Molecule: ribosomal RNA, 379 nt
Filed under: uncultured bacterium
Lineage: Bacteria
Description: partial 16S ribosomal RNA
Rfam family: Bacterial small subunit ribosomal RNA
Source: RNAcentral
CCUACGGGAGGCAGCAGUGGGGGAUAUUGCACAAUGGGGGAAACCCUGAUGCAGCGACGCCGCGUGUGGGAAGACGGUCCUCUGGAUUGUAAACCACUGUCCCCAGGGGCGAAGAUGACGGUACAUGGGGAGGAAGCUCCGGCUAACUACGUGCCAGCAGCCGCGGUAAUACGUGGGGCGCGAGCGUUGUCGGGAAUUACUGGGGGAAAGGGGAGCGUGGGCGUGGAUGCAGGUUGGGUUUCAACACUACGGGCUCAACUGGUAGUCGCACUCGAAACUGCAGCUCUUGAGUGAAGUAGAGGCGGGCGGAAUUCCAGGUGUAGCGGUGAAAUGCGUAGAGAUUAGGAGGAACACCAGUGGCGAAGGCGGCCUGCUGGAC